CCUACGGGAGGCAGCAGUGGGGAAUCUUGCACAAUGGGGGAAACCCUGAUGCAGCGACGCCGCGUGAGCGAUGAAGCCCUUCGGGGUGUAAAGCUCUUUCGGCAGGGAAGACUACAGACGGUACCUGCAGAAGCAGCUGCGGCUAACUACGUGCCAGCAGCCGCGGUAAUACGUAGGCAGCGAGCGUUGUUCGGAGUUACUGGGCGUAAAGGGUGUGUAGGCGGUUCUCCAAGUUUGGUGUGAAAUCUCCCGGCUCAACCGGGAGGGUGCGCCGAAAACUGGGGGGCUUGAGUGCGGAAUGGGAGAGUGGAAUUCCUGGUGUAGCGGUGAAAUGCGUAGAUAUCAGGAGGAACACCGGUGGUGAAGACGGCUCUCUGGACCGUAACUGACGCUGAGACACGAAAGCGUGGGUAGCAAACAGGAUUAGAUACCCUGGUAGU
RNAcentral lists this ribosomal RNA (440 nucleotides) under uncultured bacterium. RNAcentral's name for it is "bacterial SSU rRNA". It matches the Rfam family "Bacterial small subunit ribosomal RNA", at positions 338 to 794 of the family's 1533-position model. The record is from RNAcentral.